Spinacia oleracea (spinach) is the source of this 721-nucleotide long non-coding RNA. RefSeq lists it as uncharacterized. The transcript has 4 exons. Lineage: Eukaryota; Viridiplantae; Streptophyta; Magnoliopsida; Caryophyllales; Amaranthaceae. The record is from RefSeq and is a predicted model, not a curated record.
UACUCCCUCCUCUUUCUAUUUCACGUGAAACCAAAAACACCAAAACCCUCAAACCUUGCUUCCUCCUUCACGUGAACCUGCAGCCCUCACCUCCUUCAGCGUCGCACAGCCGCCGCACCAGCCACCGCCUGGCCGCCGUCGUUGCUAGGCCACCACCUCCUCCGUCGAUCGCCACCACCACACGCCGCUAGCCUUGCCGCCGCCUGUCACUGCUGCCACGCUUCCCAACCUCCGGCGGUCUCCCUCCUUUCUCCUCCACGCACGCAACAAGCUUCCCCUUUCUUCUUUUCUUGCUUCACCAUCAGCACAACCACCACCGUCGCUGCCACCUGACAGUCGUGCCGCACCGCACUCCUGCGCCUGUGCUGCACCGCCGUGGCCGCCGUCGCUCCCUGCCCAGCCGGCGCCCUUGCUCUUCACUCUCUUCUUGAUUUGGCGGAGAAUUCUCUUUAGGCGACUUUUGAAAGUGUUAAAGUGGCCUAUCAGUUUGUUUACACAAGUCUCUAAGGAUCAAUAAGCGUUGCCCAUCUACAGGUUUGAAGAUGAUGCAUCAUUGGGAUCGGGAUUAGAGAGCUUAUAGUUCUAUUUGUUUAAUUAAGUGAUUUAAUUUGUUAACUUGGAUUUGAAAUUUGUCGUACUAUUUAUAUUUCCUUAUUUUCGUUUAUUGGUUUUGGGAUUAAACCUGUAAUCAAUUACCUAUAAACCUCAAAUUAGUUUUAUG